UUGCGUAUGUGGGUACAGAUCAGAAGAGCUGUGACCCAGGCCUGGAGGAUCCGUGUGGCUUAAACCGUGCACGAAUGAGCUUUUGUGUAUACAGCAUUCUGGGUGUUGUGAAACGAACUUGCUGGCCCACUGACCUAGAAGAGGCCAAAGCUGGGGGAUUUGUGGUGGGUUAUACAUCCAGUGGAAAUCCAAUCUUCCGUAACCCCUGCACAGAGCAGAUUCUGAAACUUCUUGACAAUUUGCUUGCGCUUAUAAGAACCCACAAUACAUUAUAUGCACCAGAAAUGCUAGCCAAAAUGGCAGAGCCUUUCACCAAGGCUCUGGAUAUGCUUGACGCGGAAAAAUCUGCUAUAUUAGGUAAGAAAUGUAACCUUUUUUCUCCUAAGGUUUAUCUUAUCCCUAAUGGAUGUCCCCUUUUUUUGUUGUUUUUUGAGAGUCAUAGUCUCUGUCACCCAGGCUAGAGUGCACUGGUGCAACCAUAGCUCACUGUAGGCUCAAACUCUUGGACUCAAGCAGUCUUCCUGCCUCAGCCUCCUGAGUAGCUGGACCACAAGCGGAUCACAACGCCAGACGAACUUUAAAAUUUUUUUGUUGAGACAGAGUCUUGCUAUGUUGCCCAGGCUGGUCUUGAACUCUUAUCCUCAAGCAGUCCUCCCACCAUGGCCUUUCAAAGCACUAGAAUCCUAGUGAUUACAGGCGUUCUUAUGGGUUCCUUGAGCAGCUUCAGCCUAUCUUGUGCUUCUUCCAUCUUGUCUUGCACUACCUUGACCAUCUAUUUGUUCAGAAAUGCAGAAUGGUCCUAUAAGCUCUAUAUGAACAAGUGUAUUUACUUCAUUAUCUUAGCAUACAGAGAAGAUCGAAGGCAAUUUAUUUUUUUUCCCCGUUAACCCCUUCUUCAAUUUAGCCA
This 907-nucleotide small RNA is filed under the name Pan troglodytes (chimpanzee). RNAcentral describes it as "retained intron". Lineage: Eukaryota; Metazoa; Chordata; Mammalia; Primates; Hominidae. The record is from RNAcentral.